UCAUAGAAGGCACAGUUGGAACUGCGACGACGGGAGGCAUUACCAUAGACGAUGUUGGGUUUACUUCCGGGGCAUGUGAUCAACCAGGUCACUGUAGCUUCGAUCGGGAUAUGUGUUCGUGGCAAACUACUGGUGAUGAUGGCGAUCACGAUGAGCGACCUUGGAUACGGGAGUCUGGUAGAACAGUCAGUGGCAACACCGGACCAGCUAAUGACCACACUAAAGGGACAGCCGAAGGUUAUUACGUACAUGUAGACGCCACGGACGCUGAAGAUGGCGACACUGCUACACUCUUUAGUGAAGUCUU
Lytechinus variegatus (green sea urchin) is the source of this 307-nucleotide long non-coding RNA. RefSeq lists it as uncharacterized. NCBI's taxonomy places the organism in Eukaryota, Metazoa, Echinodermata, Echinoidea, Temnopleuroida, Toxopneustidae. The record is from RefSeq and is a predicted model, not a curated record. The transcript has 3 exons.